GAGGCUCUCGUUGGAGUGCGCAUCACGUCACGUCACGUCACGUGCGGACACUUAGGGCGCAUCCCGCUGUGCGAUGGAGAAACCCGCACACUGUCGACACAUUGUAGCGUAUUAAGACGCGCUUUUCCCAAACGACGACAAAACG
Molecule: long non-coding RNA, 145 nt
Organism: Hippocampus comes (tiger tail seahorse)
Lineage: Eukaryota; Metazoa; Chordata; Actinopteri; Syngnathiformes; Syngnathidae
Exons: 2
Source: RefSeq, a predicted model, not a curated record